Molecule: long non-coding RNA, 893 nt
Organism: Corapipo altera (White-ruffed manakin)
Lineage: Eukaryota; Metazoa; Chordata; Aves; Passeriformes; Pipridae
Exons: 5
Source: RefSeq, a predicted model, not a curated record
AGGAAAGGGCAGCCUUUGAGGCUGGUGAUUCCCCGCCCGGCACAUCCGCUGUGCAGAGGAAAGGCAGGCUGUGCUGCUGCUCGCUUCCACAGGGUGGUGAGGCAGGACAACGUCUGAGCUCGCGGGCACCUAAAAAUGUUAAGGUGACCCGAUUAACCAACGCCCACUGAGGUGACGAGGGGGAAUCCGGCACCACUGGCCAGCUGAGAGCCUUGGGAACUGCAACACUUUUGCCUGCUGCAGCUGCCUGAGAGACACGGGCACAGAGAAUGGACAGAGUUCUCAAUACUCCUAGAAGCCUCAAAACUCUGAGUUAUCUUUCCUGACUAAAGCCGUUAGAAAUGACCAGGGACCUACAGACAUUGCGGUCCUUCCCCUUGGCAAAGACCUAGAGCACUGUCAAACAAAAUACCCCUGCACUCACUUUGCCUGGUCCUGGUGCCCUUUGGUGAUUUUGGUGCUGGCUUGGCUUGGCUUCCCUACUGUUUGGCUGAGGAGUAGAGCUAGUUAACUUCUCCUCUGGAUUGGAAGAGGUGCAAUACUGGAUGUCCAGACCGGGAAGGCUGCUGUGGAGGCAAUGCCUCCCUACAGUUCUGGAUCUGCUUUCAGUCUCUAAAAGAAGAGCAGCAAGCCUGACAUGCCCCCAAAAGUCGGACCAUCCUUUGGCUGCGAUGGAAAGUUGAUGGAAAUCAGGAUUUCGUCCAGUACCUUUUCAUCAUCAGGGAGGAGCUAAAACAGAGGGAAAGAAGGGAUAAGAGCUGAGGAAAAACUCCUUUAGUAGCCAAGCCAAGGUUGACUGGAUAGAAGGGAGCCAUCCUGACACCAACAGAACCCCAGAGGAGCAGAGAAUCAUUCCUUGUGCCAUCCUACCUCCACCUGUCUGUCAGGUAUGU